Vicia faba (fava bean) is the source of this 192-nucleotide non-coding RNA. Lineage: Eukaryota; Viridiplantae; Streptophyta; Magnoliopsida; Fabales; Fabaceae. The record is from the annotation of a GenBank genome assembly.
AUGGUUCUUCUCCAACAUUCACCAUGCCAAGAAAACAAGAAAAUAAAAAGGAUGAAAUUAGUAAUUCAUUCAAAGACAACAAGGACAAGUCCAAAAAUUCAACAAUUAUCCAAGUUCUCAUUCCAAACAGAGUUCAUCCAAAAAUCUCUCAAUAACAAUUUCAACAAGUUCAUCAAAAACAAGGGGGGUUAA